GGUUUGAUUAUGGCUCAGGAUGAACGCUAGCUACAGGCUUAACACAUGCAAGUCGAGGGGCAGCAUUUUAGUUUGCUUGCAAACUAAAGAUGGCGACCGGCGCACGGGUGAGUAACACGUAUCCAACCUGCCGAUAACUCGGGGAUAGCCUUUCGAAAGAAAGAUUAAUAUCCGAUAGUAUAUUAAAACCGCAUGGUUUUACUAUUAAAGAAUUUCGGUUAUCGAUGGGGAUGCGUUCCAUUAGUUUGUUGGCGGGGUAACGGCCCACCAAGACUACGAUGGAUAGGGGUUCUGAGAGGAAGGUCCCCCACAUUGGAACUGAGACACGGUCCAAACUCCUACGGGAGGCAGCAGUGAGGAAUAUUGGUCAAUGGACGAGAGUCUGAACCAGCCAAGUAGCGUGAAGGAUGACUGCCCUAUGGGUUGUAAACUUCUUUUAUAUGGGAAUAAAGUAUUCCACGUGUGGGAUUUUGUAUGUACCAUAUGAAUAAGGAUCGGCUAACUCCGUGCCAGCAGCCGCGGCAAUACGGAGGAUCCGAGCGUUAUCCGGAUUUAUUGGGUUUAAAGGGAGCGUAGGUGGAUUGUUAAGUCAGUUGUGAAAGUUUGCGGCUCAACCGUAAAAUUGCAGUUGAAACUGGCAGUCUUGAGUACAGUAGAGGUGGGCGGAAUUCGUGGUGUAGCGGUGAAAUGCUUAGAUAUCACGAAGAACUCCGAUUGCGAAGGCAGCUCACUAGACUGCAGCUGACACUGAUGCUCGAAAGUGUGGGUAUCAAACAGGAUUAGAUACCCUGGUAGUCCACACAGUAAACGAUGAAUACUCGCUGUUUGCGAUAUACAGUAAGCGGCCAAGCGAAAGCAUUAAGUAUUCCACCUGGGGAGUACGCCGGCAACGGUGAAACUCAAAGGAAUUGACGGGGGCCCGCACAAGCGGAGGAACAUGUGGUUUAAUUCGAUGAUACGCGAGGAACCUUACCCGGGCUUAAAUUGCAUUUGAAUAAUCUGGAAACAGGUUAGCCGCAAGGCAAAUGUGAAGGUGCUGCAUGGUUGUCGUCAGCUCGUGCCGUGAGGUGUCGGCUUAAGUGCCAUAACGAGCGCAACCCUUAUCUUUAGUUACUAACAGGUCAUGCUGAGGACUCUAGAGAGACUGCCGUCGUAAGAUGUGAGGAAGGUGGGGAUGACGUCAAAUCAGCACGGCCCUUACGUCCGGGGCUACACACGUGUUACAAUGGGGGGUACAGAAGGCGGCUACCUGGCGACAGGAUGCUAAUCCCAAAAACCUCUCUCAGUUCGGAUCGAAGUCUGCAACCCGACUUCGUGAAGCUGGAUUCGCUAGUAAUCGCGCAUCAGCCAUGGCGCGGUGAAUACGUUCCCGGGCCUUGUACACACCGCCCGUCAAGCCAUGAAAGCCGGGGGUACCUGAAGUACGUAACCGCAAGGAGCGUCCUAGGGUAAAACUGGUAAUUGGGGCUAAGUCGUAACAAGGUAUCC
Molecule: ribosomal RNA, 1488 nt
Filed under: uncultured bacterium
Lineage: Bacteria
Description: bacterial SSU rRNA
Rfam family: Bacterial small subunit ribosomal RNA
Source: RNAcentral